UGGGGAAUAUUGCACAAUGGGCGCAAGCCUGAUGCAGCCAUGCCGCGUGUGUGAAGAAGGCCUUCGGGUUGUAAAGCACUUUCAGCGAGGAGGAAGGUGGUAAGCUUAAUACGCUCGUCAAUUGACGUUACUCGCAGAAGAAGCACCGGCUAACUCCGUGCCAGCAGCCGCGGUAAUACGGAGGGUGCAAGCGUUAAUCGGAAUUACUGGGCGUAAAGCGCACGCAGGCGGUUUGUUAAGUCAGAUGUGAAAUCCCCGGGCUCAACCUGGGAACUGCAUUUGAAACUGGCAAGCUAGAGUCUCGUAGAGGGGGGUAGAAAUUCCAGGUGUAGCGGUGAAAUGCGUAGAGAUCUGGAGGAAUACCGGUGGCGAAGGCGGCCCCCUGGACGAAGACUGACGCUCAGGUGCGAAAAGCGUGGGGAGCAAAACAGGAUUAGAUACCCUGGUAGUCCACGCUGUAAAACGAUGUCGAUUUGGAGGUUGUGCCCUUGAGGCGUGGCUUCCGGAGCUAACGCGUUAAAUCGACCGCCUGGGGAGUACGGCCGCAAGGUUAAAAACUC
Molecule: ribosomal RNA, 560 nt
Filed under: uncultured bacterium
Lineage: Bacteria
Description: partial 16S ribosomal RNA
Rfam family: Bacterial small subunit ribosomal RNA
Source: RNAcentral